Molecule: long non-coding RNA, 208 nt
Filed under: Lathyrus oleraceus (garden pea)
Lineage: Eukaryota; Viridiplantae; Streptophyta; Magnoliopsida; Fabales; Fabaceae
Description: Pisum sativum (pea) long non-coding RNA (PSAT_LNC025634)
Source: RNAcentral
CUGGUUUGUUAUACGCGCUAGAAAGGAUUGAACAUUGUUCUUUCCGAAAAGAGUUAGGUUGUUGAUCACACGGGGGCGAGAAAUUUAGUUUAGUGUAUUUAGUAUCUUGAAGGAACGACAAAAAAAUUGAGCAAUAUGGCACACAUCAAUUGUUCAAUUAGUCGAGGAAUAAUAAGGCGAACACCUCCUAUUCCAUUUUCAUUCAAAU